GUGCUUGUUUCCACAGCACGAAUGCUAAAAUUGGAAUGACACAAAGAAGAUUAGCAUGGCCCCUGCACAUGGAUGACAUGCAAAUUCAUGAGGCAUUCCAGAUUUUA
Nomascus leucogenys (northern white-cheeked gibbon) is the source of this 107-nucleotide small nuclear RNA. Lineage: Eukaryota; Metazoa; Chordata; Mammalia; Primates; Hylobatidae. The record is from Ensembl.